This 247-nucleotide ribosomal RNA is filed under the name uncultured bacterium. RNAcentral's name for it is "partial 16S ribosomal RNA". It matches the Rfam family "Bacterial small subunit ribosomal RNA", at positions 57 to 305 of the family's 1533-position model. The record is from RNAcentral.
GCAAGUCGAACGCGAACGGUUCUUCGGAACUAAGUAGAGUGGCGGACGGGUGCGUAACGCGUGGGAAUCUACCUAGUAGUUGGGGACAACCUGGUGAAAACCAGGCUAAUACCGAAUACGCCCUACGGGGGAAAGAUGGCCUCUUCUUGAAAGCUAUCACUAUUAGAUGAGCCCGCGUCGGAUUAGCUUGUUGGUGAGGUAAUGGCUCACCAAGGCGACGAUCCGUAGCUGGUCUGAGAGGAUGAGC